GGCAACCUGGCCGAGCGGUCUAAGGCGCCAGGUUAAGGCUAAUUCCUUAACGAAGUAUCCUGGUCUCUUCGGAGGCGAGAGUUCGAAUCUCUCGGUUGUCA
Molecule: transfer RNA, 101 nt
Filed under: Yarrowia lipolytica
Lineage: Eukaryota; Fungi; Ascomycota; Dipodascomycetes; Dipodascales
Also listed under: 1 other name
Description: tRNA-Leu
Rfam family: tRNA
About the family: Transfer RNA (tRNA) molecules are approximately 80 nucleotides in length. Their secondary structure includes four short double-helical elements and three loops (D, anti-codon, and T loops). Further hydrogen bonds mediate the characteristic L-shaped molecular structure. tRNAs have two regions of fundamental functional importance: the anti-codon, which is responsible for specific mRNA codon recognition, and the 3' end, to which the tRNAs corresponding amino acid is attached (by aminoacyl-tRNA synthetases). tRNAs cope with the degeneracy of the genetic code in two manners: having more than one tRNA (with a specific anti-codon) for a particular amino acid; and 'wobble' base-pairing, i.e. permitting non-standard base-pairing at the 3rd anti-codon position.
Source: RNAcentral